AUUACUGCCCUGUGGCAUAGAAUAAGAAAUGAAUAGAAGGGCAACUGAAUGUCGGAUCAUUUGAAGUCGGUGUCCUCGCGCAUGUCGUGUCGCGCAUGCCGGAAAUACGACGGCGGCCAUUACUCUGGCCAGUAACUUGCAGCUGGAAUCGAUAUAAAAUAUAUGGAGUGAGAGCUGUGAUUUGUUUUAAAAUUGACAUUUUGUGGAUAUUUGCUUAUAAAAUUAGAUUUUAAAACCAAAACACCCAAGAGGAAGGUAAGUAGUUUGUAUUUAUUCAUUUAUUGGUCAAAUAAAACAUUUAAUCGAGGUAUUUAUCAGCUACAAAUAUUACUAUUAAAUAUGGAGUUGCAUGACGAACAUUAUUUAUAUAUACAGUACAUGAUACAGACUAUGUUUAUAGGUUUUAAACUAGUGAAUCGUUGUUAAUCUUUGCAACUAUCGUACAUAUCAUUUUUUUUUAUUUUUCGGGUUGUCUUGGUCUUUAAAGCUAGUGUGAAUACGUUUUUUUUUGUUCAGAUGUUGCAGUAAUAUUAUAUAGAUUUGAGCAUUUUGAGGGUUUUCAUCCAGAGCAGAGCUGCUUUUUAUGCACACGUGGUCACUUCCAUGUGUUUAUAGCUGUUUUUCGUGUACAAGUUUGAUUGAAUUUAAUGUAUUUUUUUGUUUUUAUAGAAGUGGCAAAGUCACUAUCACAGAAUAGGAAGUGAAGGUGGUCAGUAUGGUUCCAGCACAGUCCAAUAUUCAAUUGGAUUUGUCUGAAAGAACCUUGGAACUGUUUCAAAUAUUACUAACAUUCAAAGAUACCUUUUGAACAUUGGCUACAAAUUGAUUUUAUCUUGCAUAGGAACUACUUAGUUCUGUACUUUAUAUUGUUAUAAACAAACGUUCAACAAGUCCCAAUUGGUAUUUUAAUAAGCACAAGUGUACGAGUCUAAAACAAGUCUGAUUUGUUGCAAUAGUUCAAAUGCAUAUAUUCAGUGGUGGACACUAGGGGGCCAGGUGGGCAAUACCCCCCCCCCCUCCCCCAAUAAUUUCCGUAGACCUUUGACCAUUUGUGGCUUAAUAACUGUGUAUAACAAAGCUGUGACAUUAUUUUUUGAUAUGUAUUGCAUGGUUUGCAUGGUACUGUGGGUUAUAGAACUAUAUGUAAUAUUGCAUGAAAUUUAAAGCAAAAAAGUUUAUAAAAAAUUAAGAUCUCCAGGAACAAAAGGAAUAUAUUAUAUGAAACCCAUUCUACAUUAACAGCUGUUCAUAAGAGUUGGGCUGGCCUGGUAAACCAGGUUAGCUUGCCUUCAUACACUAGUGGAGGCAGGCUAGCCUGGCAAGCAUUAUGCAGAAAUUGCAAUAUAAUUUUGGAUAGCUUUCUACAUUCUUAGAUUUAUAGGUGUCUGAAUGGCAAAAUAAAGCAUGUAUCCACAUUUGAAUACAAACUUGAAAUGGGGGUACCUAAGCAGCCUGGUCCAUUUUGUAAUGCCAGCACAUCUCAUAUGGAACAGCCCCAUAUAUUUGGUGUCCACAUCUUGCAUAAUGUAAUACUAGGAGAGAAAUGAAAGAGUAUUCAACAUAUUUUUGUAAAAAAUUUUAAUGUUUCUGCACUGCCAUUCUGGCAUACAUAUAUUAUAUUACAAAGACAACACAAUAUGAUCCAAUCAUUGACAAAUUGGUCUUCAAGAGAGUGAAACUUGAGUACUUGUUGCCAAGGCUUGAGCACGUCCAGAAGGCUUAAACUAAAUGAAACAAAAAUUAUGACAUGGAUAAUACUAUGUUAUAGAAGGGCCACAUUGCCAGCUUGACCUAGUCAUGCUAGCUGAGGCCUAAAUUGCCCAGCAUGGAAAGAAAAGGCUGUCCAGUUUUGUGCACAAAUCAGUGACUUGCAUACACAACAGCUUAUAUUGCUGUCGAAUCUUUUGGCACAAAAACGAUACUCCAUACACUCAGGCAAAUUGAUGUGUUGCCUGUGUCAGUGAUUGUCAGGCAUGGAUGAAGUGUAAACAUGGUCAUAACUUGAUGUUUGUGGUGUUACUCUGCGUGUGCAUCCACACCGGGACAAACUAAAAAGUUUGCCUGACUAUGGUGGGAAUCGAACCUGUGACCUUAAUGGGAUACCAGUCCAAUGCUUUACCAACUGAACUGCUAGGUUAAGUCAGUUCGAGUUGGUGAUAUUUUGGAACUGAGUGUGGUUCCUUCGAUAUCAAUGUAUUCUAAGACAUGAUACUUUUUGUGUGUGUUAGUGUUAUAUACUUAGGUGACCUCAUAGCUCAGUUGGUAGAGCAUUGGAGUGAUAACCCAAAGGUCGUGGGUUAGAUUCCCACCAUGCCUGACCGCGGUCAGGCAAACUUUUCAGUUUGCCCAGUGUGGAUGCAUACUCAGAGUAACACCACAAACAUCAUAUUCACCAGAGUACAUAACAACAAAAAGUAUGGUGACUCAGUCUCUAUAUUUUAAUUAUAGUCUUGAUAAUUAUAACAUAAAAAAACAACAAUUUAUGACUUUUCUGAUGCUGUUUAAUACCUGGUUGAAUAAAAAACAAUAGAUGAAAUGCUUCUAUGAUAUGGGCAUAGUUAGCAAUGUUUCUGAUUCACCUGCAGCACAUUUGUAUACUAUACUAUAGUCUAUCAGUUUGUUUUGUACAAAAUUUCAAACUUCAAGAAACCACUUAUUUUACAGAAGACAACACUUGUUAUUUGUGAAAGAAACACAAAAGGAAUCUUUUAGUUGUGUGUUUGUAAUAGUUGUGUAUUUGUAUAAAUAUACAUGAAAAUACAUCCAGAUCAGGUAAAAUAACGUGAAAAUAUGUCCGAUAUGGAAACAGACAUUAUACAAUACUCAACUGUGCUAUUAAAAAUACGGAAAAUUGGGAUGAAACAAUGCUUUUACUGUAAGCACAUUGUUAUGAAGAUUUGAACUAACAUAAGUAUCUGAUAAAAUAGGAGUACCGUGCCAAUUUACCCAAGAAUAUACCAAACAUUUUUAUUCAAUAUACAAAUAUACAACUUUUAACAAGCAAGUAAAACGGUCAGUAUUUGCUAAUAGAACGUCUUUAGAUUGCUUUUACCUAAUAAAUUGCAAUGCCUCACCUUAUUUCUUUCAUCUUCUGUCAAAAACUUUCACGAUCAUUGAAAAACUUGAACGAAAAAGGCGAAUUUAUAGCCCAAACACUACUCUUCUCCAUAUAAUCUAUAGUACGCCAGCAGCCAGUUUACUGGCCAGAGUAAUGGCGGACCUGACGCAUGCGCACAAAAAAACUAGGACGCGUUGUACACGUGAGUUGCCCUUCUAUUCAUUUCUUAUUCU
RNAcentral lists this long non-coding RNA (3291 nucleotides) under Paramuricea clavata. The stretch from base 2252 to 2309 matches the Rfam family "tRNA", at positions 8 to 63 of the family's 71-position model. Lineage: Eukaryota; Metazoa; Cnidaria; Anthozoa; Malacalcyonacea; Plexauridae. The record is from RNAcentral.